AGAUUGAACGCUGGCGGCAGGCCUAACAUAUGCAAGUCGAGCGGCAGCACGGGUACUUGUACCUGGUGGCGAGCGGCGGACGGGUGAGUAAUGCCUAGGAAUCUGCCUGGUAGUGGGGGAUAACGCUCGGAAACGGACGCUAAUACCGCAUACGUCCUACGGGAGAAAGCAGGGGACCUUCGGGCCUUGCGCUAUCAGAUGAGCCUAGGUCGGAUUAGCUAGUUGGUGAGGUAAUGGCUCACCAAGGCGACGAUCCGUAACUGGUCUGAGAGGAUGAUCAGUCACACUGGAACUGAGACACGGUCCAGACUCCGUACGGGAGGCAGCAGGUGGGAAUAGUUGGAACAAGUGGGCGAAAGCCUGAUCCAGCCAUCGCCGCGUGUGUGAAGUAAGGUCUUCGGAUUGACGAAAGCUAACGUUUUAAGGUUAGGGAGGAAGGGCUAAGUUUAACCUAAAGUACGUUAUCUUGGUUUUUAGACCGUUUACCGAGAAGAAUAAGCCGAACCGGUCUUAACUC
This 517-nucleotide ribosomal RNA is filed under the name uncultured soil bacterium. Its description in RNAcentral is "bacterial SSU rRNA". It matches the Rfam family "Bacterial small subunit ribosomal RNA", at positions 26 to 530 of the family's 1533-position model. The record is from RNAcentral.